This 452-nucleotide ribosomal RNA is filed under the name uncultured Sphingobacteriaceae bacterium. RNAcentral describes it as "bacterial SSU rRNA". It matches the Rfam family "Bacterial small subunit ribosomal RNA", at positions 28 to 477 of the family's 1533-position model. The record is from RNAcentral. Lineage: Bacteria; Pseudomonadati; Bacteroidota; Sphingobacteriia; Sphingobacteriales; Sphingobacteriaceae.
GAUGAACGCUAGCGGCAGGCCUAAUACAUGCAAGUCGAACGAUACCAGAGAGCUUGCUUUCUGGGAAAGUGGCGCACGGGUGCGUAACGCGUAUGCAACCUACCUUAAUCAGGGGGAUAGCCUCUCGAAAGAGAGAUUAACACCGCAUAAAAUCACACUUCGGCAUCGAAGAAUGAUCAAAUAUUUAUAGGAUUAAGAUGGGCAUGCGUGACAUUAGCUAGUUGGUAAGGUAACGGCUUACCAAGGCUACGAUGUCUAGGGGAUCUGGGAGGAUGACCCCCCACACUGGUACUGAGACACGGACCAGACUCCUACGGGAGGCAGCAGUAAGGAAUAUUGGUCAAUGGGGGCAACCCUGAACCAGCCAUGCCGCGUGCAGGAAGACGGCCCUACGGGUUGUAAACUGCUUUUAUACGGGAAUAAAUCUCGCUACGUGUAGUGAGUUGAAUGUA